UCCGCCUAGAGAGAAAGCUCGCGGCUGAUUAGCUUGUUGGUAAGGUAAGGAGCUUACCAAGGCGACGAUCAGUAUCUGGUUUGAGAGGACGAUCAGACACACUGGAACUGAGACACGGCCCAGACCCCUACGGGAGGCAGCAGUGGGGAAUUUUGGACAAUGGGCGAAAGCCUGAUCCAGCCAUGCCGCGUGAGUGAAAGAAGGGCCUUCGGGUUGUAAAGCUCUUUCGGCUGGGAAGAAAUCGCACAGGCUAAUACUCUGUGUGGAUGACGGUACCAGCACAAGAAGCACCGGCUAACUACGUG
RNAcentral lists this ribosomal RNA (305 nucleotides) under uncultured bacterium. RNAcentral's name for it is "bacterial SSU rRNA". It matches the Rfam family "Bacterial small subunit ribosomal RNA", at positions 214 to 507 of the family's 1533-position model. The record is from RNAcentral.